RNAcentral lists this ribosomal RNA (466 nucleotides) under uncultured bacterium. Its description in RNAcentral is "partial 16S ribosomal RNA". It matches the Rfam family "Bacterial small subunit ribosomal RNA", at positions 28 to 507 of the family's 1533-position model. The record is from RNAcentral.
GACGAACGCUGGCGGCGUGCUUAACACAUGCAAGUCGAACGGAAAGGCCCUGCUUUUGUGGGGUGCUCGAGUGGCGAACGGGUGAGUAACACGUGAGUAACCUGCCCUUGACUUUGGGAUAACUUCAGGAAACUGGGGCUAAUACCGGAUAGGAGCUCCUGCUGCAUGGUGGGGGUUGGAAAGUUUCGGCGGUUGGGGAUGGACUCGCGGCUUAUCAGCUUGUUGGUGGGGUAGUGGCUUACCAAGGCUUUGACGGGUAGCCGGCCUGAGGGUGACCGGCCACAUUGGGACUGGGAUACGGCCCAGACUCCUACGGGAGGCAGCAGUGGGGAAUAUUGCACAAUGGGCGGAAGCCUGAUGCAGCAACGCCGCGUGCGGGAUGACGGCCUUCGGGUUGUAAACCGCUUUCGCCUGUGACGAAGCGUGAGUGACGGUAAUGGGUAAAGAGGCACCGGCUAACUACGUG